UGGGGAAGCUACUCUGGACAGCCGGACAAUAAAAACUGUCUCAUAAAAGCGGGACUGUUGGAUGGUAAAUUAAAAGCCAUGAAGUGUACCCUAAGAACAUGUGUUACAUGUCUGUAAUUCCUGUUAGCGCAAUAGUAACUUGAAACAGAAAAUAGUUUUAAAAAAUCUGUAAAACGAGUAUAGCUACAUUAUCACACAUCAUUAUAAGUAAAUGGUUAGUAUUUCUGAUCACUUAGUGAAGAAAUGGACAAGGUGAUAAGACUGGAAAAGGGUUACAUAUAGGGAACCCAAACUCACAUGUUAUAAAGCGGGAUGUGGAGGCACUGUCCUGCACAACCACUCUCUAGAGAUGUAAUGAAAAGUCGUCAAAAGCAGGCUAUAUUCUCCAGUUGUGGUAAAUUAGUAUAUGCUUUUAUUCUGACAUUAAAACGUGAGUAACUUAUGCCGAAAAGACUAAAGCGAUGUUAUUUGCAAUGGCUCAGCCUAUAACGUAAUGUAUUUCAUGCAAGACAAGCACGGUGUUUGUGCAUAAAGAACUGAUGUUGAAGUCAUUGGUCAUUGUUUUCACAUCAGAAAAUGAAAUCACAGCAUUAUUUUGUAGCCAUGUUCUGUUAUAAACUGUUAUAAAAAAAAGAGCACCAACAGGAACCAAUACUUAUUAUACCUCAUACUCAA
Long non-coding RNA from Spea bombifrons (plains spadefoot toad), 675 nucleotides. RefSeq lists it as uncharacterized. The record is from RefSeq and is a predicted model, not a curated record. Lineage: Eukaryota; Metazoa; Chordata; Amphibia; Anura; Pelobatidae. The transcript has 2 exons.